CAUUCUGACAUUCAUUCAUCACUCAGUUCACUCAUCCGUCUCUCUUCAUUUCCUCUCCCAUUUGUUAUAUAUUUUCUCUCUUUUCCCAUUCCCUAUAUUUCUCCCUCUCGAAAGAGUGUUUUCAAGGUUUGAGAGAAGCCUUAUUCGGUCACAUUGAGUCCUUCUUGGCUUGGUUGUUCGGCAAGGAAGGAAGAGCAAAGGAAGGAGCAAGCGAGCUGUGCUUCAAAAACCUACCAAAAACAGCAUGCAGUUUCUUCUUUCUUUUAAAUCUUUUACUUUUUCUCAAAUUCAUGAACAUGAUUACAACUAAGUGUUUUGUUUUCAAUAAAAUCAUGAUUACUUAAAUCUGUUGGUGUUAGAAUGCUUUGAUUUUCAUAGUUUAGUUUAUUUAAUUACAUUAAAGGUAUUAUGUGCUUUCAAUCUAUUUACUUAUGCAAGUAAAAUCAUGACUAUAUUUCUUAUGCAUUAUGUAUGUAAAGUAAUGAUUGAAUUAAUUAAUUAAUGUAAUCCAGGUUUUAAUUAAUUGAAAAAAAUACUUGUAUGGUAUAUGUUUAAUC
Molecule: long non-coding RNA, 557 nt
Filed under: Gossypium barbadense (sea-island cotton)
Lineage: Eukaryota; Viridiplantae; Streptophyta; Magnoliopsida; Malvales; Malvaceae
Description: long non-coding RNA (GBAR_LNC004459)
Source: RNAcentral